RNAcentral lists this ribosomal RNA (303 nucleotides) under uncultured bacterium. RNAcentral's name for it is "partial 16S ribosomal RNA". It matches the Rfam family "Bacterial small subunit ribosomal RNA", at positions 507 to 807 of the family's 1533-position model. The record is from RNAcentral.
AGCAGCAGCCGCGGGAAUACGAAGGGUGCAAGCGUUAAUCGGAAUUACUGGGCGUAAAGGGUGCGUAGGCGGGUUUUUAAGUCAGAGGUGAAAUCCUGGAGCUCAACUCCAGAACUGCCUUUGAUACUGAAAGUCUUGAGUAUGGGAGAGGUGAGUGGAACUGCGAGUGUAGCAGUGAAAUGCGUAGAUAUGCGGAGGAACACCGAUGGCGAAGGCAAUCCCCUGGACCUGUACUGACACUCAUGCACGAAAGCGUGGGGAGCAAACAGGAUUAGAUACCCGUGUAGUCCCUGUCUCUUAUAC